GAUCCAGAAACUCACUGAAUUUAAUCUAAGAUUGCUAACAAGAGUUUCCUGGGGCUUUGGAGGGGACCAUCAGGAGUGGUGCUGCUCCCGGAGAAAUAAGAAAACUGUGUCAGUCAGGGCUCAGCUUCAGCUUGAAGUGGCAGAAAUGCAGCUCACACUGGUGUAGGUCAGGGAAGUCCACAUGAAGCGGGGAGAGCAAGGUGUGACUGGGUCUCUGUGAGGCUGGAAUAGGGAGCGGGAGCUCAGCAUGGUGCUCUUGCGUCUUUCUCUGUGCAAACUUUGCUUCCUCCACUCACACUGGCUGAGCCUCACACUGACCACUGUGGACCCCAUUCCUCUGGCAUAACAGCUACGUGGGUAACAGACUCCAGCAUUCCCUCCAUGACGCCUGUUCACUGUCCUUGUAGAUUUCGAAAGGGCUAGAAGAGAAGAAUGUGAAUGUUCCCCGCAUAAAGGAAAGCAGGACAUUUUAAAAGCCCAGACCCCCUCCUUACAGAGCAAAUGUCCAGGCUUCGGAGGUCACUGUCACAUCCCAAGAACCCCCUUCACCAGGUGCCACUCUUGAGACUGGACUGAAGCCCCCUGGAGAGUUCCACUUGCCUUUGUCCUGCUGCCUGAGGUGAGGACAUGGACGGCCGGGUACAAGACGGGGCAGGCAACCUCGCAGUGGUGGUAACCCUGUGCAUGAACCCUGGGCCUGGCACGUGGACCUCCUGUGACCGUCCCCACAGGCCCGUGAGGCUGAGCUUGGCACUGCCCAAGACCACACAGUCCAUGCGCGGUGGAGCUGGGGUCCAGGCUGCCCACCAGGGCAGUGACUACAAUGGUGGCAGCAGGGGACGGUCACCGUCAUGAGCUCAAGCCAGGCGCUGCACUGACCUUGAGGGAGGGCUCCAUGCUUCCCCUUCCCACAGCUGCAGUGAGGCCUAGCAGAGCAGGGUCGGCUGCGGGCUUGAGUCCUGGGGUGCCCCUGGGCUGACGGGCCCUGCCUGACCUGCUCCUCCAGUGCCCCAGCCCUGCCCCACCCACGUCCCCUCCUCUCACUGCCCCCUGGCCCACUCCGCUGCGGUCUCAGUGCCUUCCCAGGCUGGGCAUCAUCUGAUGGGAGGAAAAUGAGGGCCCCAGACUCUGUGUCAUCCUGGCAGGACCCCUCCCCUCCCAUGGCUUUGAGCCCAUGAGAUGGCCUUGGACAAAGCGGCAAUGGGCCCUUCCUGAGACACAGUGCGGCCAUCUACUGGAAAACUGCCCAGUGUGACUCUGAUGACUGUGAUGUGAAUCCUACAGCAAAGUUGAGCAGUGCGCAACCUGGGCUACUGCACCUGGCAGCCCCGGCUCCUCCUCGUCUGCCUCUUCCUGCUCCUUCAUUCUCCCCCAGAGCUCUAAUUGUCACUGAGAUUUUAUGUUUCAUUUAACAAAUGACUGUCUCCCCGCUUGAACAGAACCUCCAUGGGGGGAGGGAAGAGUGUCUGUUGUAUAAAUAGUUGUAUUUCAGUGCAUAAAACAGUGCCUGCCUCAAAGGGAGGACUCAGUCAAUAUCUGUUGAAUGAAUGAAUGAAUAAUUGCCUGGGUCAACGAAUGAAUGGCUGAAUGAAUGAUUUCUCCUUUCCCUCGGCACUGUCUGGAGUCCCCAGGACAGGCAUGGGCAGCAGUCGCUGGUCUGUGGCCUGUCCCACUGGACUUGGGGUUCUCAUGCUUGGUCUGGGCGGAGAUCACCCACCAGGCUCCCAGGUCGAUCCUCUGCUCAUGGGAAGCUGCGUCCGGCCCAGCUGCCAGGAGCUCACUGCAGGGUGGAGGGAAGAGCAGGGACGAUCUGCGAGCGCCUGAACAGCGCACAAGAGCCGAGGAGCCGCUGCUUAAAAUGCAGGCGUUGAGAGGAGUUUCGCCUCCUUUUUUGAGUUGAAUAUGAGAUUUCCGAGCAGCCAUGACGAGUUGGGUUGGUGGAAGUGGGGAGUCCGUUCCUCAGUCAGAUGGAGGAGGGGGUCCCCUUGGAUCUCCUCUCGGGGCUCGAACCCUGAUACUUCAAGGUCUCUUCCCACCUGCCCUUGGUGGAUCUGGAAAGCUCCUGGGAACAGGGUGGGUCUUCCUUGUUUUAAAGGUUGUAAGUUGAGAGCACCUCACAUAACUGCCUGGGGCGGCUCUGACGGGCCUCAGUCUGCUUGUGAUGUCACACAGGAAGCCCCUGGGGACUGGGCCGCUCAAGUCCUCCUGGGUCAGACCAGAUCACUGGGCCUGUGGGUUCCGCAGUGAGUCCAGCAUCGUUUCCUGUGCAGUGACCCAGGCCGGGUCCCCAUGGGCUCUGACUAGGGGACAGUGGGACUCGGGGUUGGGGGGCCUGCUUGAGUCAUGGCUUCACUGUCCACUGUGACUGGGGACCCCCAGGGGGAUUUCUGGGGACGCAUUCACCUACUGCACUGGGGUUUCUCUUUCAGAACCACAACACCCUGGAAGGCAAGAAAUGGGGAGCUGCAUCUGCAUCCACAGGGUCCCACCAGCCUGGAACAUCCCCGCUGGUCUAGAAUCCCACCCCACACACCCCGCUGAUCCUGGGCCCGUCCCUGUGACCAGGAGACGGAGUCCAGGGACUCCCCAGGCCUGGGCCACGCGACUGCCCUAAGAGCCUGGCAUCAGGGAGCAGUGCUGUGUGCACCCCCAGGUCCACUGAGAGUAGGG
Molecule: long non-coding RNA, 2670 nt
Filed under: Homo sapiens (human)
Lineage: Eukaryota; Metazoa; Chordata; Mammalia; Primates; Hominidae
Description: HSALNT0197573
Source: RNAcentral